RNAcentral lists this long non-coding RNA (27508 nucleotides) under Coffea arabica (coffee). RNAcentral describes it as "long non-coding RNA (CARA_LNC004944)". The stretch from base 21193 to 21274 matches the Rfam family "tRNA". Lineage: Eukaryota; Viridiplantae; Streptophyta; Magnoliopsida; Gentianales; Rubiaceae. The record is from RNAcentral.
AACCCUAAACCUUAGGUUGAAGACUCAUUUUCAUGUUAAUGGACGUCCCUCAACAUGAAUUAUCUUUAGCGUUGUUUGUAAUUUCUAAUGAAAAUCAAAUUUACGAAUCAAUAUUUUUUGAUAAACAAUAAGCUUGCUUGUUCUAUGCUGACCAGCUGUGCAUGUACUUGUAAACAUCAUAGCUAGCACUCUUAUAAACUUAAAAGAGCUUACCUUGUUUCUUCCGGUGAUUUACAGUUCUUUAAAACCUUUAAAAAAAAAAAGUGAAGUAAAUUUAACUUUUUUUUUUUUUUUUUUGGUGGGGUUGCAUGUCAACCGAAAUCCAAAUUCAGAUGACCUUUAGGUUGCAAACUUUUUCAUUGAAGGGGGGGAAGAAAGGGACCAAAUCCGUCAAUUGUUCUUCCAAUUGGGUCCCUUAAUAAUUUUGGAGGCCCAAAACCAAAAUGCUACGAAUUUUCUCUUUCGUAACACCAUGUUGUUUCAAAGCCGAUGUUCUUCCCAUUCCAUCUUGUCUUCCACUUUCAAGACCAAUUUGGCCUGAUUACAAGAACAAUAGCUGAAGAUUUGCUAAGAUAGGAACAAAAAUAGAUUGACAUUAUAAUUGCGAUUACGAAACUGUUGAAACUGGUUAAGAACAACUACUGAAGCGUUUUGAUUUGCAAUGAUAGGAGCAGAAAAAGAUUGACACUGAAUUUCUAUCGGCUAUUGAAAUGAUAGCUUUUCUAGGAAUAGGUUUAUUAUUGCUUCUCGAUUUACUUAUUUAUCAGCAUGAGAUCAUUGGAGACUAUUUAAUAAAUGAUAAUCAUCAUAAAAUCUCACAUUAAAUGUGUACGAUGAUGAUGGGUCCUGGCUAAUUUUCUUUACAAUUAAUUCGUGGUUUUUUAAGGGAUACAAAAACUAAGUUAUUAUAAGGAAAUAUAUAUAUAUUUACAUUAGUAUUGAGGAAAGAGAAUCACCCAUGACACAAAAAGAUGGGUUUAAAAUGGUUCCAUGCAUGCUAUUACUGGAAAGAGGUGUUAUGACACUAGAAUCAGCUUGUCAAAGACAAGUUGGUCGUUAAUAGAGAUUCAAAAUUUUAAUUUGGGGUAUAAGUUUGUAGUUUUAAUCUCAAACCUUGCAAUUAAAGAGGAUUUAGCGUAUGCUCUUUCCUUUCCUUCUUCUUCCUUAUAAGGUCAGAGUCUCCUUUGAAUCAAAGUAAAAAAACCAAUAAUCCAAUAACAGUAGUCUAAUAAUAUCCGAAAUGGACUAAGAAUCUGAAAUAAGCUCAAUUAUGAAUGAUGUAACCGUCCUUUCGAACAAGAAUUUUAAAUGAUUUUAGAAGGGCAAUGUAAAAAUGCUUUUUGAUUUUUUUUAAUGCCUUGGGAAAACCCCCCACUGUUCUCAUGGACAAAAUGUCCACUUCUUUUUUAUCUUGUUCUCCCCACUUUUCCAGUCGAAACAAUCAGACCCUAAUUCAGUACCUUUUUCAGUCCCCAAAUUCCCGGGGAAGUUUCUAAUCUACGGAGUUCUUCUUAGUCAGGAGACUCAUUAGAAUGGCGACACAUACAUUCAAAUCUAAGCAUCCUCUGCAUUUUAGUACAAGUACGAUGAAUGUAACAUGAUUCUUCGUUAAUUAUUCUCCAUCUAAGCAUAAGCCAAAUACCGACUCCCAGUGGCGGAUUUAAGGUACCUCCACUGCUCCCUUAAAUUUCCUAUAGUAUCCAUAAAAUUUUGAUAUAAUUUCAAAUGUACGUCGAGAGUUUUCUUAUGAAAGAAUUAUAUGGUCUUCUAAGUUGAUUUAUAAACUACUAUUUUAAAAAGAUAUGUGGGUCACAAAGUUUCAUUUGAAAUAAGGUGAAUAAAGGCUUUUCAUUUCAAUUUGUUGGUGAAUUUUUUUACUUAAAAAAUUAGAAAAAGAGUAGGUAAAAAAAAUUUUAGUGUUGCUUUUACCCUCACUGAGAAUUUUUUCUGGCUUCGUCAUUGCCGACUCUACCAUUGUUGGAGACUUGGAGUAUACAGGUGCCAGAGAGAAGUGAUGUUUAGUUGUUAACCUUUGUGAUCUCAUCAUAAGUCGAGAGGUAGUUGAUCAAAAUUCCCCUGUAGUAGCUUUGUCCAUGCGACUAAAGAUCCAAAUUGUUUGUUCAUUUGCCAGUUGCCACUUUGAUGUUUAUGUCAUUCCGCUGCAACAUCUGUUCUUCAGUUGGUGGAUGCUGUUAGGAACUUAGGAUUUAAUUAUCUCAGUCAAAAUUUUUGCAACUAAAAUCUAGUUGAGAAGGCAUACCAACCUAUACAUCUUCAAACUGGUCCAGCUACAUUUGAACUUAACCUUGUAGUGCUUCCUUUAGAAAGCAUAGUCUUCCCCUUUAAGCUGAUCAAAAUACACAAAAAAAUCGUACUACCUUGGAAACUCAAAGCGGAGCUUCAAUCUUCUGCAUCAAUCAAUCAGCAUGGCUUCUUCUUCUUUUUCUAACCUUUGCAUCUUUCUAUCUCUGAUCAUUGCUUUGUCAUUUCCAAGCAUUCAAGUAACAGACGCGGCUCGCCAGCUUUUACAAACCUCACAACCAACAAUACCGACGUUGCCCACCCUGCCAAACUUGCCCACCGGAGCAGCAGCAUUGCCACCAUUGCCAACCACUCCUCUGCCAACAUUACCCACAAAUGUUCCAUCCUUGCCAAAGCCCGCGUUGCCAACAGUUCCCACAAUUCCUCAGGGGGCCCUCCCUCCCAUACCAGCUGCAACUUCAUUGCCAAACAUCCCAUUCACAAUCCCUUCAAUCCCAACUAAUCUCCCAACGUCAAUUCCUUCAAUUCCUUUCUUCUCACCUCCACCAUCCAACUAGACCAUUUUCUACCUGAACUUGUUUCAAUCAUUGAAUAUGCCGUAUCUGUUGCUUCGUUGUGAUAGCCUAAUGAUUUCCAUAUAAUUGGGAAAUUUUCACAGUUACAAUGGUCCUUGUAGGGAUCCUAUGAAACAGAUGGAGUUUGGAUUAUAUUGUGAGUCCCUGUAUUGCACACUGCAGGUUGUAUUCCCAUUUCUAAUGUUAUGAAUCCUUUUAUAUUUAUACUAUCUAAGAGCAACAUCUUAAAUUUUUCUCUUUUUUUUUUGUAUUUGAUUUUUCUGGAAUUACGUGCUCUGUUAUUCUGCUAAUUCCAUUCCAUUUGAUGAUAUGUCUCUUGAAUUAUGAGUUGUGUUUCAAUGAUGGGAACAACAUUCGCGCCGAGUUGGUCCCCAUGUGGUAUUUGCCAAAAAUGACACGGAAACUUUAACAAAAAAAAAGUCAGAUCUACCAUGUAAUUUUAAGAAGGAACAAUUUUGCAUCUGCUAUAAUCUUAAUAUUUGUUGCUUCACUUCUGAGUUUCUGAGGAAAAAUAAUAACAAUGAUGGCCAAAUUGAACAGCCACGACCUUUUUCAAGUUGCAUUGCUUGCGAUUGGGAAAGCAACAGUUUGUAUUUACUUUCAGUUUUAAGAAUAUGGUGUAAUGAAGUCACUUCGAACUCAAUUAGUGAACAAUUCGAGCUCGGCGUGAAUUAAAGCACUUGAACUCAAAUUUGACAAACUCUCAGGUUGGGUUUCAUCACAUACAAAUGUUCAAGUUUGAACUCGUCCAUUUUUUUUUUUUCUCGAAUUCAUGAAAUUGUUCAAGCUCCAUCGGAACAACAUCGAAUUCGAGUUUUAAUUGAACAACCUUAUGAGUAGUUCAAUUGUGACGUUUGCAACCCUACUUUAAUAUAUAGGAAUACUUGUUAAUUGAUACCAGGGUUUCCUUCAGUUAGUAUCGUUUUGGUGCUACGUACGUACUAUUUAGAUUCAGUUUUAAGAGUUAUUAAUGAAUAGCAGCCAAUAAUAUAAAAGCAGCAUAAAUUACAACAGUUAUAAUAGCCUCUCAAAUGAUCAUGAAAUCAAAACAAAACCGCAUGAAUGAAAUCAAUACUGAUGGGGUUUAUGUUCUUGAAUUUUCUGUUCAUUUAAUUCCCUUCGCAUGAUAAUACAAAUAUGAUGAUUCUUGGGGAUAAAGUUCCCUAAUGUUUGAGAGGUUGGUCCGCUCAAAUAAAUAUUCCACGUGUCUGACUUUCGGAGAAGAGAACACUUGGCGAAGCCUGGAUUAAACCUUAUUUGUCCAAGUCAUUCCCAUUUCCAUUUCAUCCCCUAUAAAUUCACCCCGCCAUACAGAUCAGUUUCAUGCAAUCAAAACGUAAUUUCUGCUGAUCAGUUUCAAAACUGUGGAUUGCCAGAUGAUGGAGAAGGCUUCAAUCAAGUCCACUCUCUCAGUUGCUCUCUUCAUUCUUCUUCCAAUUUGUUAGUCUCUCUCUCUUGAUCUCUCAUUUACACUUGCACAGGACUAGAAUGUGUAUUGGUGAAGGGAUUCUUGCUUCAUAACUUGAAUUCACCGGUUGAAAAUCAUCACUUUAUUUCUUCUAUUAAAAGAUUGUUUCUUGUUCACAAAAAAGGAAAAAAAAAAAGAUAAACAGGCCCUUUGAUUGCAGUAUUAUCAUUCCCAAUGAUGGAAGUGAAAAUGGCAACGAGCAUCUCAAGAAAAUUUCAGAUAUUUGAAUGUGGAAAUCCUUGUAGCUCUGAUGCGGAUUGCAAAUGCACUGAUUUCUAUUGUGCUCCGAUCCCGGAUGUGAUGAUAAUGGUUAUUAUAUUCAAAUCAAUUUUGGCAAUCUUAAUUAACCAAGGUGGCCAACAAUAAUGGUAUCCCACUUUAUAUUUUACAUAUAUAUAUAUAUAUAUAUUUUUCUUAAUUAACUUUUUACUUUUAAAAAAUAUGAACUCCUAAAUUCUAUCUUAAUGACAAUCCAUUCGGUACUAGUUAAAUAUACCCUAUAUUAUUUUACAAGCCCAAAACCCAAAGCGCUAAUUUUCUACCUUUUUAAAAAAAAAAAAAGCCCCCCAUCCACUCGUCCAGGUCUUUUCCCAACGAGUACUCAGGCUGCUGGCCCUAAAUUACUAACUUCAAACUCACAACAAACGUUGGCAAAUGAUGAGUUAGUUGUAUUUAAAAAUGCAUGUUUUCUUAGCUACGUAAUUAUGGUAAUAUGCGUACAACGACUAUAUAUUUUGUUGUAACAUAUUUUUAAGAUUAUGAGAUGGUUGCGUUCCUUGUUGAAAGUGGCUUUCGAAGUUAUUUUAUAAUCAAUCAUGUUACCAAUUUUAAAAAUUUUGAAGUUUUUUUAAAAAUUUUUUUUUUUAGUGUAAAUAGAAGGAUUCACGUCAUCAUCCUAGUCUGGAGUUAGUUCAUCGACAUUUUUCUAUGCUGGCUUCUCACAACCACGUCCUGUCCAUCAAAAUCCUCUCAUCUAUUUCAGUUGUCAAAAAUGAGCAACUGGCAGGUCAUUCCAUAUCAUCAUAUAUACACAUUAUUUAUUUAUUCGGUGGACUUUUGUUGAUGAGAAUUCUGAACUUCGAAAAAGUGAAAUUGGUUGAGGUAGCAAACCAACCUGCAGUAAUUCUUCCAACUUGUCCAACUGCAUCUAGCCAACCAUUGCUCCCUAUAAAAAGCAUUACCUCCCCCUUCAACUCAGACAACAUACUAACACAUAUAUUUGGGAAUUCCCCUACAAAUUCAGUUUCGAGCUUCUUCCUUCUGCGGUAUUCAAUCCAAUGGCUACUUCUUCCAAUGUCUGCUUCUUUCUGUCUUUGCUCAUUGCUUUAUCAUUUUCGAGCAUCCAAGAAAGCCAGGCCGCUCGCCGACUAUUGCAAACUUCCCCACCAGUGAUACCAGCAAUACCAACAUUGCCUGGUACAACCAUGCCAAAUUUGCCUACCACAUUGCCACCAUUGUCAAGUACUCCUUUCCCAACAUUACCAACAAAUCUUCCAUCUUUGCCAACUAUGCCCACAGUUCCGAAGGUGGCCCUCCCUCCCAUUCCAGCUGCAACUUCGUUGCCAAAUAUUCCAUCCACAAUUCCUCCAAUCCCAACUAAUAUCCCAACUUCAUUUCCUUCAAUUCCUUUCUUCUCACCACCGCCAUCCAACUAGACCAUUUUAGAUAUUUGAAUGUUUGAGUUUGUCAUAUCUGUUGUUCCUUCAGAUCGCUUAUCAUACGAUUUCAUGUACAAGUAAUUUUUACAGUUUCAUUAGUCCGUCUGUAUAGCUAGGGAUCUUAUGAAGUAGACGGAGUUUGGUUUGUUUUUGAGAUUGUAUUGCGAUUGUUUAUGUUAUAACUAGUUCUUAAUUGAUACCAUGUAGGAGUUUCUUGUUUGUUGUUUCUUGAUACUUUCGUUUAUUUAUCUAUCUUUCGUUGGCUUGAGGCCUUAUAUUACACCUCUCGUUACACUUUAUUAUUCAACUUUUUAAAAUGACAUGCAUCCCCACAACACAUUAAUCAAAAGAACUUGGAUUCUUAUCCAUGAUUAUAUGCAACACAUCUCAAUCUAACUGUUUGUCUAAUAAGAAUAUAACAUAAAUCAGACGAUCUUUUUUAUUUUGUAAAUUACAUUCUCACCACUCAGCUAUCAUUCAUCAAAUGUAAAAUUUUAAUUUAAGGUCAAUUUUAGAAACCUUCCUUAAAUUUUUUAACGAUUUCAGGCAGUACUCUCUUGUAAUUUGGAUAAUUAAACCCACCUACAUUGCUAACUUCAAUUGAGUAUCAUAACCCUUUUCUAAGAUACAGGCUGUUUACAGAAGAAAAAACCAGAAAAUUAUUCACCCAAAUUCCCCAACACUCCCCGUCUUCUUGUCAGCACUAUUGUACUUUUAUCCAUUUUUACCACCAUCACUACCAUCAUUGCCAGAAGCAUGGCAAACAGAUGCUUCUCAAAUUACCUGCCCAAAAAAAAAAAAAUUUCGAAUGAGAUGCUGCAACACCACCCAAGCCAUAAUCUACCAGCCCAAAAACCUAAAAAAAAAAAACACACACACACACACACGAUAUGCUCCCUCUUUGCCAUCAAGCAUGUCUGCCCAAAUCCUUUGCUACUUUGGUUUCCUCAACCAAUAUACCUCAAUCCCUCCCCUCUCUCAAAUAACAUCUGAAAAGUAAUGGAGUCAGCUCCAGUCCCAAAGGGGUAUACUUCUUUCUUUAGUUAUUCAUGGUGGAAAUAUGCUGCUAAUCAAUGUCCACAAUAGUUAUAGACGACAGACAACCAAGCUAUGCUGGUUUCAGCAAUUUGAUACAGACGUCCAAAAAAUAAAACCAAAAAGUAUUAACAUGGAUAUAAUAAUUGCAAACUCCAAAUAACUAAAAUGUCAGCGUUUAGCCAAAUGUAUGAUCCCACACUUGGAUUCAAUAUAUAUAUAUAUAAAUAUUUAUUUAUUUAUUAGGUCGCUUGGUUUCAAUUUCUUCAAGCUUAUAUGAUCAUACACUUUGUUUGAGUUUCUUUAAGCUCUAUCUGACUUUGUUAUACGGUUAAAGGCUUAAUGCUUUGUCAGGAGCCUUAAGUUUGCCUGUUUAGGUACGUGGUUAUUGGAACUUUAGUUACUGUAGCCUAAAUUCCUUUUAGUAAAGAUUAAAUUAAUGGUGGGAUCGUAGUAGAAGUAAAAAAAAAAAAAAAAAAAAAAAAAGUCGCUGGACCAGGAGUAUAUUUUGUGGUAAGCACUUUUUGAUAUGUUUGUGUAUCAUAAAGUAUCAUCAAAUGUGGAAAUCUUAAUUACUCAUAUUCUGAGACCGAACAAACAAAAAAGAUAAUCUGAAUCAGAAACUUGUGCUUGUGAUUCGUGAACAUCCGUCAUCUUACUCUAUUAUUUUGGUCUCUAGCGGUUGUAUUACUCUUUGGUUUUGAUUUUAUCUGGUUGUACUUUUGUUCAAGCAGUGACUUGUUGAAACUGGCCAAUGAAUUGGGAAAAAAAAAAAAAUCAAAAGCGAAGCGGUUUGUUCAAUUUUCGUGUGUUUUCUUUACAUUAAAUUUAUUGACAUAUUAACAUUAUAUGGUUUCUUGUGGAUUAAGUUCCUAACGGGAGAUUCUGCCCGCUAUGGAAACUUUUAUAUUGUACCGAAUUUGAAAGACCUAUUUGGCAUAUUCUCGAUCAAACCUCAUUUGUCGAAUCCAUUUCCAGUUUGAGUUUAUCCCCUAUAAAUUCACCUGAAAUAGACUAGUUUCAUGCAUACAAAAAUUAGUUUCUACUGCUCAUCAACAACAGUGGAUACUAGAUGGAGAAGGCUUCAAUCAAGCCCGCUCUCUUAUUUGCUCUCUUCAUUCUUCCAAUUUGUGAGUUUCUCUAGGAUUCUUACCUCAGAACUUGAAGUCACGGGUUAAAAAUCCACACUUUUAUUUCCCCUACUAAAACAUUGUUCCUUUUCCAUUUAAAGAAAAAAGUACAGGUAAAAAGACCCUUUUUCAUCUAACAAAACCUUUUUUCCCCUAAUGUGAUUUAAUUGUAGUAUUAUCUUUUCCAGUGAUGAAAGCCAUGGAAGUGAAAGUCACUGGCAACAAGCAUCUCAAGAAAACUUCAGCAGGAUUGUGCAAUUCCUUGUGGCUCUGAUGCGGAUUGCACAUGCAUAGGUUUUAGUUGUGCUCUGACUCCCAUAGAGGGAUGUGACGAUAAUGGUAAUUGUAUUCAAGUUAGUCGUUGCCUGGACGAAAUUCAAGCAUUGUGGCAAACAAUAAGAGGCGUGUAAUACAAUUAUUUUAAAGGUUUUGUCUACUGGUUAUUGGUUUCUUUGGUAGUAAGAGUUUGUUUGUAAUAAAGAUAGUAGGAUGAGAUUUUUUUUUUAACGUAAAAAGAGAUUUUAUUGAAUAGAACAUGAAUGUACACAAGUGCAGAGGUAUUUGCUACACAAAAGUACGACUAAAACCAAUUAAGCUAUACAAUAGUACUGCUACAAUGAACUAAACUCCGAUUAUGCUAUCAACAUUUAAGAAAAAUCUCUUGGGGAAAUCCCAACUAAAACAAAAUAACUAGUUGUCUCUUGUACUCAAUACAUUCCUCCAUUAUGCCACAUAAUAGCGAAUCUCCUUCCAUAUAUAAUAUACAACUGCCUCUAGUGCCAACUUUUUUACUGUGUUUAUAAAACAUUCUUUCUUCCAAUGACAACUGAGCCAUUUAACUUCAGUAUUCCAUUCAUAAGUUCCGCGUAUUGCAAGCAGCAUUGCUGUAUUCUUGACCAAAUAUAAGUUGCAUACUCACAUUAAAAAAAGAGAUGAUUACAAGAUUCAUUUCCAGUAUAGCAUAAUACAUAUCUCAUUUCAGACAUAAUGCCCCACUUAACCAACCUGUCCUUUGUGCUUAAUUUGUUCUUACACAACAACUACAAGAUAAAUGAAUGUUUCGGAUAUAUUUUUUGAAGCACACAAGAUGAUGCCAAUAGACCUCAGUAGCGAAAUGGUUCAACACUUCAUUUGCAGAUUUGACAGAGAACAAAUCUAAUUUACUGGGCAGCUAUUUCACUAUAUUUGACAUUCCCUCGCUUAGUAACUAUCCAGAAGGAAAAAAUUGUGCAAAAUCAUCAACUUCAACAGGUCUCCUCCUACCAGCAGGGAUCUUCCACUCUCUAUUUUCAAUGAUAGAAAAAACCUUAGCUUGUGGCGUACUUCCAAACUAUCGCACCAUAUUGGGUCCAUAAGCUGUGAAGCAUGGCCCUCUAUGGUGCCAAUUAUCAUACCAAAGAAGUAUUUUCUCCACUUUUGAUCACUGAGACAAUAAAAGGCUGUAUAAUAGAUCUGAUUUGAAGGAGUUUAUGCCAAACCCAAGAACAAAAUUGAGGCAAUGAAAUAGACCAGAAACAUUUAUUUUUGAGUUUCACAAUGUGAACCCAAGCAAUCCAAAGAGAAUCCUUUUCAAGUGUUAUGUGCCAGAUACAUUUAAACAAUAAAGCCUUAUUCCAAUUAGUCAAAUUAGGUAAUCCAUGUUCUCCUUGUUUGAUAGUAGGAUGAGAUUGUUGGUGUGUUAGUUACUCAUUGUCAAUGUUUGGAUUUACUUCUGGUCUAGAUUGAACCAGAAGAUGUUCUCUUUCUAUUUAAUCAGUAUAGGCCAAAUCUUGGUAAUUUCUAUAUUUCUUGGUUCACAUAAAUGUUGUAUUGAGUUCGAUACCCAUGAUACGAGACUGACCUGCUGGAGUAAUGAUGGAUUGUAGAUUAUUUGUGAUCCAAGAUCAUCCAAAAAGCAAACUGAAACAACCUUAGUGGCCCAAAAUUUUUUUAAAAAAUAAUAAAACGAGGUUGCAAAUUUUCAGAUAAUAAAACAGAAAUGCUGAAAUUUGCUACUUCUCAGUCGAACAAGAUUGUUAAUUAACCUUAGAAGCCCAUAAUGCAAAUUGCCAAUUUUUUGAAACCCAUUCUUUCUAUGAACUUUUCCUAACUUGUACUCGCUCUUCCAAACUUGGAUUACCAAUUCAAAUUUGCGGUCUAAAUUCCAUCCCAGGUAGAACACAUGUACUUAUUAUUUACUUGGUAGAUUUUUUGUUGAGGAAUCUGAGUUUCUAAGAAGUGAAUUUAGUUGAGAAGGCAAACCAACCAAUGCUUCUUCAAACUUGUCCAACUACAUCUGACGAUUCUGACCAACCAUUGCUUCCUAUAAAAAGCAUCAUCUACCCGCUCAUCCCCUACGGAAUCAAUACAAAACAAAUUAAUCCCCUACGGAUUCAAUUUGAAGCUUCUACCUUCUGCAUUAAUCAAACAAGUGCUCAAAAUGACUACUUCUUCCAAUGUCUGCUUCUUUCUGUCUUUGCUCAUUGCUUUAUCAUUUUCGAGCAUCCAAGAAAGCCAGGCGGCUCGCCAACUAUUGCAAACUUCCCCACCAGUGAUACCAGCAAUACCAACAUUGCCUCGUACAACCCUGCCAAAUUUGCCUACCACAUUGCCACCAUUAUCAAGUAUUCCUUUGCCAACAUUACCGACAAAUCUUCCACCUUUGCCAAAGCCCACAUUGCCAACUAUGCCCACAGUUCCUAAGGUGGCCCUCCCUCCCAUUCCAGCUGCAACUUCAUUGCCAAACAUUCCAUCCACAAUUCCUUCUAUCCCAACUAAUAUCCCAACGUCAUUUCCUUCAAUUCCUUUCUUCUCUCCACCGCCAUCCAACUAGACCAUUUUAGACAUGAACACGAUUCAGUGUUUGAAUUUGCAUAUUUGUCGUUCCUUCAGAUUGCUUAUCGAUACGAUUUCUUGUACUUGAAAUUUUUACAGUUUCAUUAGUCCGUCUAGCUAGGGAUCUUAUGAAGUAGACGGAGUUUGGAUUUCAUGUAUUGUGCCUUGGAGAUUGUAUUCGGAUUGUUUAUGUUAUGAAUUAUGAUGAGCUCUCUGACACUAUGAACGAGCACUUUUUUACGUAUGUUUGUUUCUUUUGCCAACUCUAAACAUAACUUUAAGUCAUAGAUAUGAAUGUGGGAGACAAAAGUUUUUAGUUUUGAGUUUUGGGAUCUAUAGCAACCGUUAUACCAGAAUACAUCUACGCUUAAAAUGGUGUACUCCCAAAAAAAAAAAAAAGAAAGAAGUUUUGGGAUGGGCAUAAUGAAGAGUUUCAAUAUGUAAGUUCUAUCAUCUGCACAAAUAAAUUGGAAGCUCAUGAUGUGUUAAUGUACAGACAUUUGGGAAAAUGUUGCGGAAUUUGUGUUUUUUUUUAUUUGAAAGAAUGAAAAUUCUAUCCAAUAAAGACUACAUUCACUUCACAAAAAAAAAAAAAAAAAAAAAAAAGAUUAGAUUCACCAGCUGUCUAAACUUUCAACUUAAAAAAAAAAUUAAAAGUCUUUGAUGAUUAAUUACCUUAUUAAGUCUCUCUUGCCAAUAAAAUCUUGAUUUAGUAGUGAAACAACACUACUAAACCACUUGCAUUAAGAGCUGAAUUCAUCCGAACAACCCAAAAGAUUCGUUUUAAAGAGAUAAAUAACAUAUUUUGCAAAAAAAAAAAAAAAAAGUGAUGCCAUAGCAAAAGUGUGAAAAAUAAAGGGGUUACACGAACACCCUCCAUCAGAAAAUUAUUACACGAAUGAAAUCUAGGUAUGAAUCAGUGAUUCAUAAGAAAUGUGAGAUAACUUUCAACAGUUAGAAUAUCCAAUUAAAAUUUCAUUAAUAGUUGAUAAAAGACUUGUUAAAAAGUCCUGGAAAAACCUAUUUAUAAACUAUAAAAGUUUAACCUAAAAAGAAAACAAAACACACGAAAAACUCUAAAACAACUAAAAGAUGCGUUGCAGCCGUGAUGACCCUUCAGAUAUAUUUAGUAACACUAGAUUUUUUGUUUUUUUUUUGGGGUAGGUUCGGGUAACAUGAUUUUGCUUCUUAGCUAGAAGUGACGGGUUCAAAUCUAUAUUCAAAAAAAAAAAAAAAAAAAGGACUGGUAAAAAGGCUUUUCAUCUGACGAUUUUUUAUGGGAUUUAAUUGCAGUAUUGUCAUCGCCAAUGGUUCAAGGGAUGGACGUGAAAAUGGCCACAAUUAUCUCAAGAAAAUUACUUCAGACUGAAUGCGAAGUUCCCCUGCAGACGAUUGAACAUGCAGUAAUCACUCUUGUUGUUGACAACCCAAUAUGCGAAGAUGAUGAUGAUUGUGAUGCAGUAUUCCAAAAAAAAAAAAAAAAGUAUGCCAGCAGGUGUAGCCUCAAACCCUGAAGUGAUUGUUCGAGAUAAUUCAUGGUUGGAACUUGGAAUCGAAACGCGAGAUCUGCUUUCUCUACAUGAAAAAUCUAAAUAAAAUCCUCAAUUUCGACAUAGUUCAGAUAAAUGUUUGAUAAGUCAAUUGUUGUACUUUGCAUCUUGUGACCAAGUCUGUAAUGCAAAUAAUAGGAAAUAAACCAAAGUGCAUUGCAGUACAAGGGCUGCUCAUGUCUGUUUGUAGUUUAAUUUGAAUAUUUCGUGCAAGUUAUAUGUACGUUCUCGACAUUAUUUGCAUGGAAUGUCGCUCAUGCUUUAAUUUGACCUUUAAUCCCUUUCAUUUUUAUUACUUGCAGUAGUAUUAAUACAAGGACUUUUACUUCGACUAAAUAAUAGGAGAUCGAUUAGUAUGAAAUGAGAAGCUCUCAAGAUACAGAGGGAUACUUAUGUUUUGAUGCCAUGAAAUGUACCCCUACCUCUUUUUAAAUUCCAACCUUCCCUUAUUAUUAAAAAAAAAAUUUAAAAAAAUAGAAAAGUAAGCUGUUUUUUUUUUAAGAGGACAACUUCACAUCACAAAUACAGUUGAACUACUCUUUCUUUUUUUUUUUUUUUUUCCUUCUCCUCGUCAAGUGUUGGCCUCAGUAUCGCUGCUGUUGGAUUGGAUUUUUCUCUCAAGUUUCUCUCCUGUAUUGACCUUACCCCAUUUCAGACUCUGUGGGGGAAUUCUUAAUAACCAAGUGUACACUUGCACACCAUAAACUGUUGGUAGUUCAUCAGCAUUCUAAUUCCAAACUAAUUCCAAGUUUAGUUGAGAAAGGCCAACUAAACCUAAUUCUACUAAUCCAACUACAUUCGAUCAAACACUUUCACCUCUAUGGCUAUCUAUAAAUAAGAGUCAAGAAACAAUAUGCGAGUCCCUCAACUCGAAACCAGAAAAAUACCCAUCUUGUACUUGCCGUAACACUUAAAAAAGUGUUUGCUAAUUUCUGAAUUUCAAUACAGGAUCAUUUACCAAUGGCUACAUCUUCCAAAGUUUGCUUUGUUCUGUCCUUGAUCCUAGCUCUAUCAUUUUCAAGCAUCAAGGUUUCUAACGCAGCUCGCUACCUUCUGCAGACGACGCCAGGAAUACCUACAAUGCCAUCGUUGCCCAAGUUGCCUCCAUUGCCUACCAUGCCAAGCUUCCCUACAGCCACAUUGCCACCAAUGCCAGCUACCCCUUUGCCCACAUUACCCACAAAUCUUCCAUCACUGCCAAAGCCCACAUUUCCGCCAUUGCCAAGCACUCAGCUUCCAACUUUGCCUACCAUCCCUUCCAUUCCCUCUAUUCCUACUACAAUUCCUACUUUACCUUUCCCCUCACCACCACCAUCAAGCUAGACAUUGAAAACGAAGCACUUGGAUUAUUUAUCAUCAUCUCUUUACUGGGAAGUCUGGAAAUCCAUGAAGAUUAUCGAUCAUUUCUUUUUUUUUUUUUUUUUGGUGGCUCCAGCCAUAUUCGUAUGUUACUCGUACUAUGAUUGCGGCGUUGUAUCUUUGUUACUCAUACUAUGAUUGUAUUAUUGGAUAUCUGUUACUCAUACUAUGAUCGUAUUAUUUGAAACCUUUCUUUCACGGGGUCUGAGUAUCUGGUUAAGAUUUGACCGACAGCCAUCAGAAAUCUAAUCUCAACAACAUAAAAGCGGUUCUUUGGUUACAUUCUUUGAAUUAAUUGCUUUUUUUUCUGAAAGACGAAAAUAAAAUGCAAAUCUAAGGCUGUGAACGAAAACACUAAGGACUACUAUCACCGACAACUGUGUACUGGGGCAGUAGCAAUUCAGUCCCUUUUACAAUCCAAGCAUUCAGGUGCAACAUACUUGUCUAGAUUGAAAUCAGGCUUCAUGUGAAAGUUGAUGGAACUUCAUCUUGGAGACCCCAAAAAAGAGAGAGAGAGAGAGAGAGAGAUAGACAAGCAAAACAUGAGAGGAAUAUUACUUUUCAUGCACUUUUGUAGUCUGGAUGUAAAUCUUGUCAUCACAUCUUUGAUAAAUAUGCUGUUUAUAUCACAAUAGUGAAUUGAAAUAGAUUAAAAUUUUUUAUGUUUUUUGGUUUAAAUGAGAAUUUUGUUCACCAGUUAAUAUACACAAGCUGUGUGUUCAAGCAAUGACGAGUUUGGGUCCUCUUAAUUGUUGUAACUUCUAGAGCUGUUUGGUCGUAGUUGUGCAAGCAACUCAUUAACAUAAAAUAACUAUGUUGACCACUUCAACGAUUUUUAUAUAAUUCAUUAGGAUAUGGUACAUGUAUGUAUUGUGUGAUUUGAUAUUAUUAUCACAGUCGAUUUUUGUACUUUUUACAUAAUAUGAUAUGGUAUGCAUUUACACAAGUUAUUGCACUGAAUUUCUUACGAGAUGGAGUGCAAAAGAACAAAACGUACAGAAAAAAUAAAAUAUGGCUCACAUGUACAAUCACAUGAUGUAAACUUGCAUCAAAAAAUUAUGUAACAAAUACAGUAGUAUAGAACUGCACCUACCGCAAUGGUACUUGCAUCAUUUCCAUUUUAUCUGCAUCAGAAAGGAGCUACAAAAAAAUGCUAAACUAUUAUUAGCAAGUUUCGCAACUCAUCCAAAGAAAUCCAAACGGAUGUACAUCAUCCUUUGAAUUUUUGGUCUUAACUUUCCCAUUAUGGUAUGUGUGUGUUUGAAAAGUAAAAGCCGAAAACAAGAGGGGACUUUGAAGCAGCUGACGAGUUCCACGCAUGCAGUUGCUAAGAAAACCCCCCCAAUGUAGUGUUACCAUUGCGAAAUCAGUUUCCAGGUGUACAGCACUUUUGCUACCUGUCACCAUUUCAGCCCCUUCGCCAUGAAAUUUUUCCAAAUCAUAUCUCAAAAACUCAUCUAAAACCUGAGAAACCAUAAGUCCAGAUUGAGAAAAUGCCAAGAACCCACCGCACUGCAAUUUUCUACUGAUAAUCUAGACACCAACGUCAUAUUCUAAUCAAUGUAUCAAGCUCUUCAAGCACAUAUCAUGAAAUCCUUCUGGUUUCCUUCACUAUAAAUAGAGCUUGAAUGAACUAGUAUUUUCCUAACAUCUUCAGUAUCUCUUUUGUAAGCCAGAAAGCACAGGAAAAAUGAAGUCCAGAGCGUUUAUUUUGGUUGCACUUCUAUGUGCUCUAUUUCUUCUCGUUUCUUCCACUAUGGCUGUUGAUACACCCAAGGAUGGAACAAAGGGUAAGAAAAUACUAGUACCAAGUAGCUAUGCUUAUGUUUUUGCAAGAUUUCCAUCGGUCAUUAACUUGAUUUUCUUAUUUUUCAAUAGAAAUAUCAUACGAUCUCCGUAAAUGAAUAGUAUGGAUUAUAGGAUGAAUUACAAAUGUUUGCCUGGUUGACAAUUAUUGUUUGCAGAGGACAAGGCAAAGGAACCCGAACAAUAUGGAGGUCGGUGUCGUUAUGGCUGCUGUGGUCGUCGGGGCCCCUAUGGUUGUAGUAAGUGCUGCAGAACAGGUAAUAGUUGCACCAUUCAAAGAAACAGGAUUUAAAUGCGUGAACAGUAUUUGUAACUUAAAAAGUUGUGUUGUCCAUGUAGCUAAUGAAGCUGAAGCAACCCAAGUAAACGCUGACAUCAAUGGCAAUGAAGGCGGUGGACAUGGUGGUGGCGGCGGCUAUGGAGGUGGUGGCGGCGGACAUGGUGGUGGCGGCGGCUAUGGAGGUGGUGGUGGUGGCAGCGGAGGUGGUCAUGGUGGGGGAGGUGGUCAUGGUGGUGGAGGUGGAUAUGGUGGGCACUGCAGGUACGGCUGUUGUGGUGGCUAUGGCAAAUAUUGCAGGUGCUGCUACAACCCUGAAGAAGCUCAAGCUUUUGUACAAAAUGAGAACUGAGCCAAGCCAUAAAUCAAGGAAACUUCCAUGUACAAGUUUGCGUGAAUAACUACAUGGUUGAAUGUUGAUCUUAUGACAAAAAUAAAAUACUUAGUACAUGUGCUUCUGUGCUUAGCACAUAUGUAAGGAAUAAAAAGUUUCAGUCAUCAUUUGAUGAUGUGAAUUUCAACAAGUGUCCUUCAAUCCCAUGCCUGGAUUUUUUUUUUUUUUUUUUUUUUUAAAUUUGACAUCUGCUACUUGUCAUGUUUGUCUUUGCUCUUAACAUUUGCACUUGAAUGCUCCAGUCAAAAUUUAAGUAAAUUUGUGAAAUAAAUAAAAAUAGCAACACCAGACCAAUCAUUCAUGAUAGAAGUAGGAAGUAGGAAGCCAGAGAGAUAAUUGGAAAGUACACUCGAUUAAAGAAAAAACAACGAAAGCCACAUAAAAUCAGAAAAAAAAAAUUAAAUCGAGUGUAAUUGGCAGGGUACGUAUUCAUGCCACUGAUGGAGGCAAUGUAGUUGCAGGAAUUGCUGGCUUUGUGGGCUAUGACCAUAUAGAGUUGUAAGUAAUUUCUCACAGUAAAUGUUCUGCUUGUUCGUGGAAACAAGAGAACUAAAGCAUCAUCAGGUUUGACAAAUGCAAGUGCACAUCUUUGGACUUGGGAGUUGGGAGGACUCGGGAGCUAAUACCUACAUAGAAAAUGGGCGAUGGAUGAAGAAAGGUGCUACAGACUUUUUAUGUCCUCCAAUGUGGGUGGCAGAAUACACUUUCCUUGAAGUUGAUCAGCGAGAUUACUUUUGUGAUUGCUGAAAUUCAUGACAAAACGGUUCAACAUCUUCAAUCACAAAUUCGUCGAACUGCAAUUAUAAUCUCAUUGGACCAAACUCGAGUAAGCAAAUCAAAUCAAAUCGCUAAUGUCACUUCUUCCAAGUAGCGCUGACAUUCUAAGAUUGACAAGGAAAUGCAGGCUUUGACUCAUCAUUUACUUAAAGCAGGAUACAACAGCAAAAGAAAUCCAGAAGCAAAGAAUAUGAAACUAACCUGAAAACAAAGAUUUAGUAUUUCACAUUUAGAACAGUUACACGCAAAUCAAAAACAUUUUUGCUGCAUUGGGUCGGUGAACAUCCGUACAAGCAUGUGUUACAACAAGAUGUAUACAGUCUCAGGAGUCAUGCUACUAAAGUUUGAUGCCCGAUGCUCUCAGAAGAUAAAAUGGAACUCAGACACGUCGCUGAAGACUGGAGAGUCACUCAUCACUCAAAUGGUGGUCUUCUUAGACAAAGAAAUACCAUUAUCACAGCUGUUUAAGUAAAAUCCAACAGUCAAAGGCAACCAAAAAUAGUUAAAAUGAGGCAUAAAACAAAUAGAUUUCACAUCAGACUUCAACGACACUACUUGUAAGCUUGCAUUUCUGCAAAAGUGACUUAAGAAAGGGUGCCGGAUGAUAUGUUUGAGAAACCAAAGAUUGCAUUAGUUAAAUCCGCAUUUAAAUGCACAUUAUAUACUUAGCCAGUCGUAUUGACCAUCCCAAUUAGUCACGAGAAUCAUACAACUCAAGGCUGAUUAUCAAAUCAAAAGGAGUGGUUUGAAAACACAAAAUUUGGAAAAGAUGGCCAAUGGAAAUGUGGUUACAAGUACGAUUGAAUAUGAGAAACAUAACAAACUUGAUAGAUCUUCCUGCUGAAGUUAUUUGCUUUUCUUUUAAUUAGUUCAUAAAAUGUUAUUCGACUAUAAUAGUCAGCAGAAAGACAUCCAGAAAUUUUCUCACUCCAUAAUUGAAUUUAAGAAAAGAAAUUUAUACUAUAAGUUAAGUCUAUGCCAAUGAACAAGUUGCACAAAAUUAGUCCUUAAAUAACUGAAACACGGCAAGAUAUAUUUAUGAAAUACACCAUACUUGCAAGUAAGCUUAGUCAAUUUAAACAAGAAGAAGCAUCAGAUAAAUAAGAUCGUUUAAUAGUAAGAGGCAAAGGAAAGAAUAUUACCCAUGAUGCGAGCCUUAAGGGUGAUGAGGUUGCAGUCUCUUCAGAAAAAAGGGUCAUACUAAAGAACCAGAAGAGUUCUUAAGCCUUGUCUUAGCGCUUGAAAAAAACAAUAUCUCUGCCGCAGCUAACUUUGAUAGCUUCCUCCAAACUCUCCAUCUGAUCAAAAUCAACUUUGAAGGUUACCAUGGUAACACCAUCUUUUCCAGUGUCAUAAUCUUGCUUAAUGUCUUCAGCCCGAAAUGAUUGUAGCUGCAAGAUACACAAAUGGUGUAUUUGUGAGACAACUGUUUACGAUGUUGAGAUGCACUAAUCACAACCUCAUCAAACAAGUCAAUGCAUUGAUGACAUUUAGCAAACUGGUAAUAUAUGAAAAACUGACGUAUGCUCCACAUGUCAAAAUGACAAUCAAAACAUGAUUUGUCAUGACAAUAUUUGACAGUUAAUUAGCCAGCAACACAACCAGAAGAGAACUUAUAAAUCCUCUGAAUCUUACCUGAUGGUAGAGAACCCCCAAAAGGUCAUAUGGAAUCUCCAAGCCCAUUGGAACCUACAAAUCAAGAUCCUUGUCACAAUAUUUAAUUCAUGAAGCAGAUUUCAAUGUGCAAAGUACGAAGUGGAAAAGAAACUUAUAGAAUUAGACUACUAUUGAUUCAAUAGGCACAAGUUUUAGAGAAUGUAAAAGCCAGCAAGGAUGAGUUGUUACUUUGGACUUGACAAGACAAGUGGGGGCAUUUCUCAAACAAUCAGCAGCAACCCCUCCAUAAGCCCUGACUAAACCUCCGGUGCCAAGUUUAAUACCUCCGAAGUACCUAAAUUAUGAAAUGCAAAAAGAUGAACAUCUUGAAUAGCUUCUCUCCCUAGAUAGAAAAGCCAAAUAACAGACUAAUGGAUGUCAAAAACUUAAUGCAUGUAUCAAAAAAUGAAAAUUGUUACGUAAAAACAACACUCUCUACAUUUCAUUCACAAAAGAAACAUUUGAAUCAGAGCCAAAGGGAAAAAAGCAAUAGCAUGGCCCCAAAAAAUGUGCAACAUUUGUCUACCUGAUCACGACUACCAUAACUCUAUCAAUCCCAGAAGAUUCAAUUGCAGAAAGUAUUGGCUUGCCUGCUGUACCAGAUGGUUCACCGUCAUCAUUACUCCGAAACUGAUCCCCAACCUAGAAUUCACAAAUAACUGCAUUUGCGUCGAAAACAACCAACAAACAAAAGGGGCAAAGAGAAAUAAAAGCCUCAUAAUUGAUUCAAGUACCCCAAGAAUCACUAAUAACUAUCAUACCGGAAAAGAUCAAAUUUUGUACCUUAUAUGCCCAACAAUUAUGAGUAGCCUUGGGGUCACGAACCUUAUUUCCAAACAAAACAAAAAAUAAGUCUUUAAUGGCAAAAAUAAAAAAAUAAAAAAAACCAAAAGUAAAAUGCAAGAAAGAAGAGAGGAAGGAGUGAUUAUUAAUACCUCAGUGAGGAAGGCCUGAGCAGAGCGUUCAUUAGAGAUGGUGCCAGCAAUGGCGAUAAAUUUACUCUUCUUUAUCUCUGUCUGAAAUGUGACCCUUUCUUUAAUUGUGGUAAAGGCACCACCUUUUUUAUUAUUAUUGGGAUUAGAAUCAGACGCAGUGAUGCUAUUGCUGCUAAUGGUGGCCAUUGGCGUUAGAUAAAUACAGGGUUUUGUCUGAAUUACGGAGAACGAGGGAAGAAAACGGUGACGGUGAUUCUGAAGAUUGUGAUGGAGAAGAAGGGCUUUGUUCAGAUUCUUGAAAGGGAUUGAGAGAAUCCGCAUAGAAGCAGCCGCCUGCAUCAGCAAAAACCUUAAUUUCUUUCCAUCUAAAACGUUGUCGUGAUGGUGGAAUUCGAUUAAGGUUUCGUUCUUUGUUUUUUAUGCUCAAUUUUGAGGACAGAAAAAUAUGCAAGCAACAAAAUAGUCUUUAGGAUUAUAGAGCACGCUUUAAAAUAUGCAAGCAACAAAAUAUUCUUUAGAAACAUCGAGGCGUGGAACUCUUGAGUAUUAUAUGGGACGCUUUAGAUUGAGGGCGCAAAAGGAUGGGGAUAUUUGGGGGAAAAAAAAAAAAGUUACCCCACAUUUGUGAUUUGUUACUCGAAUAGACAAAAUUUGGAAAAUGCACUUCCAUCCAUUAAAAAGUAACUUUAAGAAGUUAGCCUAGAACGACAUAUGCAUAAUUUGGCUUAAAUACCUACAUUUUGAGAAUUUCCUUGAAAAUGUUAUUUGCGCCAUUUCUGUUAAUUACACUCCCACUAUUAUUUUAAUCAUAUAAUUUUUGUUUGUUAGAACAUAUAAUAAAACAAAUUAUGCUAGUGCAAGUAACAAAAAAUGAGUGCAAAUAAUAUUUCUCUUUUCCUUUUGCUCAAGUUAUGCAAGUAGUAUUUCCUCUGUCAACGAGCAAUUCUUAGGUUUUUUAAUGAAGGACAACAAAAGUAUGAAAAUACAUAUUCAAAUGAUGUCCAUGCCAAAAUAAGAAGACCACCAUGCAAAGAAAUAUGUCAUUGUGAAUUUUAAUAUUAAAUUAUCAAGGCUUACUGCAAAAUAAAAUGUAAAAGAUCAAUAUGAUGUUAAGAGAUGUGAUUCGCUAACUAAAGGUUUUUUCAUGAUUAAAUUGGAUUGGCACUCCUCAAAAAUGCCCCUUUUCAAUCCAAAAGUCUCAUACUAAAUAUGAAAAUAAAAAAAAAAAAACAAACUAAGAUGAUGGUCUUUUCAUUCGAACCUUCAUUUUGUACUAAACAUAGAACUAGAAAUAAGUUAUAAAAACAUGAUCUAUUCAAGUUUAUGUGAAAAAAGUAAAUUUUUCACAAAAAAAUUUUGCAUGUGCUGAUGAGCCAAAAUAAGCAAAAUACCACACUUUCCUAGUAAAUCAAGCACAAAUGCAAGGAAUUGUUUUUGCUUUCUAAUACUAUUGAAAACUAUAAUUUUUUAUUCGCUUCGCUGUCUCCAUCCCCAACGUCGCUUUGGCCGAGUGGUUAAGGCGUGUGCCUGCUAAGUACAUGGGGUUUCCCCGCGAGAGUUCGAAUCUCUCAGGCGACGACUCUUUUACCUUUUCGGCUUCCGUUUGCUCUUACAAUCUCACCGACUACUUUCUAGUAGUUCUUCACUUUUGACCGUUAAACACUUGUUCUUUCUCCGGCUUUCAAGUCAAGACAACUUUUCGUCCACAUUAAUCGGAGAACCUGAAAUGGGAACUGGAAGGGGACCUCACCGGAGAAAGUCAAUGACCACCUCUCCCUCUGUGGCUCUGUCCCCCUCCCCCAUAUAUACCUCUUCUGACUUUUGAAUUGUCUCAAGACCGACCCUAACGCGGUGACUCGGCCAUCCCUCCAACCAGUUUGGUGAACUGGGCAAUCCAGCCAACAACAACUCACCAAUCAAUAAGUCCAAUGCAUUAGGUCCACCCUCUUGACACGUAGCAUUUUCUUUUUUUUUUUUUUCAAGAAAAAUGUUUGGGUACAUUCAGCUCCAAUCAAUACUGGUGUAUACCUCCCGAACCAUAGAUCGCUUACAGAAAUUUUUACAGAUCGCCUACCAACACAGUUUUCACAUUGGCGGCGGGAUUCGCAUACAUAAUCUUUUGUAAAAAAGUGAUUCAUUCUUAUUAAUUGGACCAACUUGUGUAAAAAAGUGAUUCAUUCUUAUUAAUUGGACCAACUUGUGUUGACAUAGCCUUUGUUGUUCAUGAAAAAGGUUGCAUUUCCUUUCAAGUCUGGAGUAGUGACUUAUGGGAAUUGGAAAAUAAGGGUGCAUUUAAUAAAAUUGAAAUUUGAGAUUUGAAAUCUAAAAUCUAAAUUUAGCAAAUUACUAAAUUAUUAAGUACCAAAUUUAAUAGUACAUUUGAGUGUAUGUCACAUUAAGUGAUAAGUGAAUAGCUUAUCACUUAUUUUUUUUAUCCAAAUUUUGUCUUAAAAAAUUCAGCGUCAUUUAAUUAGUUCAAAUAUUUUAUUUUUAGUUAUCAAACGUGUCGAAAUAAGUUAAAAUUUGAAUACACUAAAUUUAAGUGAUGAAUUAGGUUAGCAAACACGGUGGAGUCAAGCUUAACAUUUGGCUGCAAUCAAAGGGUUAACGGCCCCGUCAGUCUAUGACCAUAUUUAAUUUCAAUGAUAAUGUGAACGACUAACAUAUUUUAUCAGCCUCAUUUUUUCUCAAACUUUUUGACAGUUGCCAUUAGCCUCAUCUACCUGAUGGAAUUGGUGUCCUUUAACGUGGUCAAGUGACGUUUUCUUCUUCCAUGGGCCAAUUACUUGGGAAUUUUUUUUCUUUAAUUAUAUGAUUAAAAUUAACACACAAUAAUGACAACAAUACUGAGCACACACAGAUUAAAACUGAUCAACAACAUUACAGCUAAUAACAUUAGAAAAUGUGGGAUGGUAACUAAUAAAUUCACAUUCAGUGAGAUUUAAACCCAAGAUUUGUUUAUUUACAUGAUUUAUAAAUCGUCUCUAUUAAAUUAACCUUUUUAAGUUAGCAUGGCAAAUAAUCAUCAAGCGAUCUGUGUAUCUACAUGAGCAGAAAUUUUACAAAACCAUUAUUUGAAUUACUCUAUAUGCAUAUGUUUUGAUGCCCUCAAAUUGUUCAGAAUACUUCAAUAAACAACCUAUUCAGUCGACACAUUUUUCAGUAUUCAGUAUUUCCAAUCCUUGUGAUAAGGUGGUUAACUGAAGGGUAGAUAUUAAAGUUCUCUUGAUUAAUAUUGAUUAAGUGCAUAAGCAUAUUAUUCUUUCAUCAAAUCCAAUAAAAAAAAUUCCUUAAUCACGCGUUAUAGUGACAUUAGGGUACCCCAAAAAAAAAAAAAAUGAAUCGAAUAUUGAAGCUGUUGAUUUGCAGCAUGGACUCGUUGAGGUUAGGUCGGAGGUUUGCUCAAGGGAGGUAAUAUCUUAGGUAGUGGCUGGAGGACCGGGCGCGUCAUCUAGAUGCAGGAGUUGAGGAGAAACUUUAAAUCAGUGAUGGAAAUUUGAUGCCAAAUAAUGGCCUUAAUUAGUUCUCUUCAUGGUGCUCAGUAUAUUUUUCGUCUAUAACGAACAUAUUCAGAUGCAUGAAUUUAAUUAUGAUGCGACUUUGGGCAGUCUUUCAUGGAUUGCCUGCUAUCAUAAGUAGCAAUUAGUUAUUGAACAGGAAUUGGACUUUUAACUUCUACUAGAGAAAUGCUUUUAAGACGUUAUUGUUUUCAGGUUCAGAUAUCUAUUGUAGAGAAGAUUACUUGACGAUCUAGUAAUUAACUGGAAGAUCUUAAGAAAAAAAAAAAAGAUCAGCUAGCUACUAUAAAUGGUGAAAUUUAAAAAGCGCGGAGAAAAAAGAAAAAUUUAAAUUCAAUAUCUCUAAAUCCUGAAAUCUCAACUUUAUUCAGCAUUGAAAAAUAAUUGUUCGAGAAAUUAUUACGUGUAAAACAUACAUUCAACAGUCAGAAACUCGAUCGUGUGUGUUGACUGGUCAAAAAUAUCUUUAGGGCAGGUCAGAAGAACAUGCUGUUGACUCUUGGCUCUUCUAUCUUGAUUGGGCCAAGGUGGGAAUCCGAUAUUAUUCCACUCUCUGUUCUUUUCUUUUGGCAGAGAAUCGUAUGCAUGAUAACAAAGCGGGUAUGCAGGCUUUGGGUCUGGGGAGGAAAGAAAAGAUGAAAAAUAAAAGAAGAAUGCGUCACGCUCUGACUUGGUUCCCAAAGGCAUCCAUUAUUCAGCUGGAACUCUGCUCUGGUCAAAUUUGCGCUGUGUAGACUACGCAGUAUUGUUCCAACCAUUCCAAGUCGUAAUAAAGCAACUUGUUGGACAACAAUUUCUAUUUUGUGGACGUAAUUCAUCAUGUAAUCAUUAGCAACCCUUCCAGAUUAUGGAGAGCUAAACAAAGUUGUGGUUUCAAUUACCUUCUUAUCUUUCUAACUAUUAUUUUUUAUUUCACAUACCUUACAUGCUAAUAUAACAGGUGCUACAAUAUUUUUUUUUAAAAAAAUAUUUCAAAUAAUCUCCGAUCCAAAAUUAUUAAUUUGGAUAGAAGAGGGAUUUAAAGGUAAGAAUGUGCGACACUUUAUUCUUUUUUAUUCUGGGGUUUAGGAGAGAAAUUGAGAAUUAUAUUUACUUUGCUUGGAAGUUAGUGUAUGAAAGAGAAAUGAAGCAUCCAAAUUAUUCUGACUUUCUCUACCUGUUAAGCAAGAGGUUUACUUUUUUUUUUUUUUUGGUCUACUUUUUUCAAGUUGAGAAACUUGUACAUGUCCAUAAUUACUCGAAAACUUGCAAGGAAACUAUCUUAAGGAAAAAGAGCCAAAAUAGGUAAGUUGCCAAAGCAAAUGGUGCAAAUAUUUGCUAAUUACCUUUCUAGCUCUCGUUGUAUCCACAAUUCACGAGUUCCAAUAAUAAUAAAAAAAAAUAAAACAACAAAAAUGAAUACAAAAUUGAAGUUUUCUAAGACAUUCAUUGAUACUCGAUAACACAUCUAAAUUUCAUCUAACAUAUCGCGCGUGUGCAUGUAUAUAUUGAUAAUUAUUGCCUUCCCUUCUCCUAUUUAUAUAUAUUUUUUAAUUAAUUUUAUUUUUUAAAAAAUUUAACACUUGAAUUAUAUUUUAAAAUGUGCCUAUUGGACACCCGUUAGAUAUAUCCUUAAAAAAUUGCAAAAAGCAAAAAGUUACAAAAGUGUUAAAGGCAUUAAAGAAAAAACUUUGUUGGCCACAGCCCGCAACAACACGAAUUCAUGAAUUCUCGUACUGACCCCCUUAUUCUUCUUUAACAGUAACCAAUAACCUUAGAACUCCGCCAGUUGGCCAAUUUGCAAAGCGCAGGAUGUGGUAGCGUUCUAUUAGGUCAUUAGACAAUUAGUCUCUGACCCCAUAACCGCGUAAACAAAUUCAACCUAAAUUCUACUACUACGCAAGAAACUUCCUUCAUUUCCCAUUUUCAUUUUCCUUUCGUUUCCUUUUUCCUAAAAAUAGUUCCAAUUUCCCCCACUAUAUAUAUGUAAACCUUUCUCCUCCCUUCCCCCUCAAACCAUCAAUCACUUCAAUUUUCUUUCCCCUUUUACCAGCACAUGUCUCAGAGACCCAACGUCCCACACUUCUCCUCCGUCGCCUGCGGCCUCCAUUCCCAUCUCCUGGUUUCCAGUGAGAUGUCCUCUAAUUCCAACUGGUCUUCUUCUGCUCGUACCUUGUAGCUAUUCCACCACCUAGUCUUUUUCCUUAAAUACCCCACAAAAUUAAAAAUUAAAAACCACACACACACUAAACCCAAACAAACAAGGAGAAGAAAGGAAUCAAGAAAAACGCUACUCAUUUUUUCUGAGUUCAACAAAAGAAGAAAAUAUGGGUUUGAAAGGCUUUCUUGAAGGAGGCAUAGCUUCAAUAGUGGCUGGAUGCUCCACCCACCCGCUGGACCUCAUCAAGGUCCGAAUGCAACUUCAGGGAGAAUCCCCCGUCCCCAAACCGGCUGCUCAAGCGCUCCGACCAGCUCUAGCCUUCCACCCUGCAGCUGGUCAGGUUUCUCAUCCUCACAUUCACGUCCCUUCUCCAUCUCUUCGUCCGCCGCCGCCCCGCGUGGGACCCAUUGCCGUGGGAGUCAAGAUUGUCCAGCAAGAAGGGGUCGCCGCGUUGUUUUCCGGCGUCUCCGCCACCGUCCUCCGCCAGACUCUUUACUCCACCACCCGCAUGGGACUUUAUGAUGUUCUGAAGCAAAAAUGGACCGACCCACAUACCAACAAGAUGCCUCUGGAUAGAAAAAUCGCUGCUGGGCUCAUCGCCGGCGCGGUUGGAGCGGCCGUCGGGAACCCCGCUGACGUGGCCAUGGUCCGCAUGCAAGCCGAUGGUCGGCUCCCGGUGGAUCUGCGGCGCAAUUACAAGAGCGUGGUUGACGCGAUUGGUCAAAUGGCUAAAACCGAGGGAGUUGGCAGCCUGUGGCGCGGUUCAUCCCUUACGGUGAACCGCGCUAUGGUGGUGACGGCAUCACAGCUGGCAUCAUAUGAUCAGAUCAAGGAAUCGAUAUUGGAAACGGGUCUGAUGAAGGAUGGGCUUGGGACCCACGUGACCGCCAGCUUCGCCGCGGGGUUCGUGGCGGCGGUGGCGUCGAAUCCGGUGGACGUGAUCAAGACUAGGGUGAUGAACAUGAAGGUCGAGCCGGGGAUGGCCCCACCUUACAGUGGAGCCGUGGAUUGUGCUAUGAAAACUAUCAAGGCUGAGGGCCCACUGGCCCUUUACAAGGGGUUUAUUCCCACAAUCUCAAGGCAGGGACCAUUCACAGUGGUGCUCUUUGUCACACUGGAACAAGUCCGGAAAUUGUUCAAGGAAUUUUGAUUUUUGAGGAUGAUGACGAAGAAAUUAGAAUAAAAAGAAAAUUAUGUUUCUUCUUUUAUGUUCCUGAGAUCUGGGAGUUUGAAUAGCAAGAAAUCUGUCAGAUACUGCAUGUCCUUUGAUUUAUAGUAAAUGGUUAAUUUUUUUUAAUUUGAAUUAUAAACUUGAAACCAACGCAAUUAAAGUAUUCUAUUUUUCAUUAUUUUCAAAGGUCGUGGGAGAAUACGUAAAUCAAUGCAAACUUAUUUGUCUCUUGGACGAACAAAUUAACUUUUACUUUUGGCCGAAUAUCGAACAAAGUCGAUGCAAUUUGACAAAAGGUGAAUUUGAGUGGCUGCAAUUAGUACUAAUUGUUUGUUCAUGUGAGCUAGGGGCUCUAGCUUCUACUUACCCUUUUUUUCCUUUUUUCUAAAUGAGCGGUAUUAGUCUCAUGUUCUUGUUUUUGUAGUCCCAUAAUUACAUAUAAUAUCAGCAAAAAGUUAUAUCCCAAGCUUGAUUUUGGUUUCUUUGUUAAGCAAAAUUCAGUUCCAAAUUAGCAAUAGUAUAUAGUUGUGUUUGGACAGACAUUUUUCGUCCAAAAAUUACUACAUUUUCCGUGAACACAUUUUCCUAUCAUCUUUUUACUUCACAUACAUCAAAUCAAAUCGCUACAGUAAUUUUUUUACAAAAAAUCCAGAAAAAUGCAAUCCAAACACAACCUAUUAUAUUGUUGAAUUCAGUUGGACUUUGUACUCAAGUGGAAUAUUCGAAGCUCAUAUGCGCUGCUAAAAAGUGCUGGUAUAUUCUUAUAAGAUAUGUAUAUAUUCUUUAGUUAUGGCUAAAAUUGAGACCUUCAGAAAUUAAAAGUCUUUUUUGUUUUUUGAAUCUCACCUCUUAUGUGCCAAAAAAAAAAAAAGUUCUUUAGCUAGAAGUGAUCGUUGUAAGAUAUGUAUUUUCUCAAGCUAAGAAGUUAUUUAAGGAUCAAUAAUAAUUAUUCUUUUAUGUUUUCAAACAAACUUUAUGAAAAA